CAGCCGCGUAAUUCCAGCUCCAAUAGCGUAUAUUAAAGUUGUUGCAGUUAAAAAGCUCGUAGUUGAAUUUCGGGAUUGACACAUCGGUCGUGCCUUAAGGGGUAUGAACUGGUGUAGUCAAUUUCUCACCUUCUGGAGAACCGCGAUGUCCUUAAUUGGGUGCCGCGAGGAACCAGGACCUUUACUUUGAAAAAAUUAGAGUGUUUAAAGCAGGCAUUUUGCUUGAAUACAUUAGCAUGGAAUAAUAAAAUAGGACGGCAUGAUUCUAUUUUGUUGGUUUCUAGGAUCACCGUAAUGAUUAAUAGGGAUAGUUGGGGGCAUUAGUAUUCAAUUGUCAGAGGUGAAAUUCUUGGAUUUAUUGAAGACUAACUACUGCGAAAGCAUUUGCCAAGGAUGUUUUCAUUAAUCAAGAACGAAAGUUAGGGGAUCGAAGACGAUCAGAUACCGUCGUAGUCUUAACCAUAAACUAUGCCGACUAGGAAUCAGACGAUGUUAAUUUUUUAAUGACUCGUUUGGCACCUUACG
Molecule: unclassified non-coding RNA, 525 nt
Filed under: uncultured Glomeromycotina
Lineage: Eukaryota; Fungi; Glomeromycota
Description: SSU rRNA
Rfam family: Eukaryotic small subunit ribosomal RNA
Source: RNAcentral